UCACCACAGUUCACCUGGCCAGA
This 23-nucleotide microRNA is filed under the name Eptesicus fuscus (big brown bat). Its description in RNAcentral is "efu-miR-9364". Lineage: Eukaryota; Metazoa; Chordata; Mammalia; Chiroptera; Vespertilionidae. The record is from miRBase by way of RNAcentral.